RNAcentral lists this long non-coding RNA (231 nucleotides) under Podarcis muralis (Common wall lizard). RNAcentral describes it as "lncRNA (ENSPMRG00000002890.1)". Lineage: Eukaryota; Metazoa; Chordata; Lepidosauria; Squamata; Lacertidae. The record is from RNAcentral.
UUGUUGAAAAGCAAUCCCAAAGAUUCCAUCUGGUUUUUUUUAUCCUUUCUUUAAUAGGCAGAGUACAAGCUGAUUUCCACAUUUUUGCAAAAAGAAUUCUGACUGCAGGCAGAUUGGAGGGAGACCAUUUCCUGGUGUUCUAUUAGGUCACUAACACAGAUCACAGAUCAACCCAGAAUAUGAAUGAUGUAAUGAGAGUUUCCUGGAAGGUAAUCCUAGAGGACACAGGAU